CUGAUGCACUGGCUGUACCUUUAUUAUUUUUACCUCGUUCACUAACAGCUCCGUGACGCAAGGUUACCACACACAGUUAGAUAGUGUCUGCAUUGCACAUCUAAGGCUAUACAGCAAAAGAAUCAGAAUUAGUACAAAUACAAGAACUAUAUUUACAGUCUGUAUACUCAAGCUCCAAACAUCAGAUAAUAUUUACAAAAUAAAACAUGAAAAUGAAAAUCCAAAAUUAAUGUACAUUGUUGCUAAUGUGCUCAACUCCUUCACGGGGGAGAGAUCAGUUUGCAAAGUCUUGGUUCAAAAAGGCCACUUAUGCAUUAUGGGUUUUGUUGUCAUGUGUGAGGAUGGUGACAAGAGACUUGAAAUCUCAACAGACAGGUACUUUAGAGCCACAAAGUCUAAGACGAUGCCUUAAAUACAAGAAGGCUGAGGGACUCCUCAAGUGAGCUGAUGCCAGAAUAGGCAGAAUGAAAAAAAAUGAACUUGAAGACAUGAAGAACAACACACAACAGCCACGGUUUGGCAAGAGACCAACCUCAGCUCAGACUUUCCAUCUGAGCACAGCCGUCUGGCUAUGAGCUUUUUACUGAAUUUUAUAGCAACUCUGAUUUCUUCCUUUAAAUGAUUGGAGGCUUUUUAAAGAUCUUAUGGGGCUCAAAUACUAACUUCAUAAAUGGCCUUUUGAACAACAGCAGCAAAUAAUCUCUCAGCUGAUAUUUCAAUUUACUAAGGAAGCACAAAUUAAAACAUUCCUGCUACACAGUCACGGUCUGGCCACACACUGGGGUGAAUCACUGGCCCUGGUGAACAACUGUAGUGCACACAAGUUAGAGUCCUAUGUAAACACAUCCAGCAAACCUUCUGGGAGCAGCAGCAACAUGAAUCUUUUCUUUUUUUUUUUGAGACGGAGUCCUGCUUUGUCACCCAGGCUGGAGUGCAAUGGUGCAGUCUCAACUCACUGCAGCCUCCACCUCCCAGGUUCAAGCUAUUCUCCUGCCUCAGCCUCCCAAGUAGCUGGGACUACAGGCACACGCCACCACGCCUGGCUACUUUUUGUAUUUUUAGUAGAGACAGGGUUUCACCAUGUUGGCCAGGCUGGUCUCAAACUCCUGACCUCAGGUGAUCCACCUGCCUUGGCCUCCCAAUGUGCUGGGAUUACAGGCGUGAGCCACCACACCCGGUUGAAUCUUUCAAGGGGCAGGUUAACAAUCACAUUUUAAAAAGGGAACCGAAAGGAAAACUGAAAGACCCAAGUCAAACAAGCCCUGAUACUGUCCAUUGGAACCCGAGCGGGACACAGCACGAGGGAAAUGCAGAAAGAGUACCGAUGAGUGUGCACACUGGAGAAUCCUUUCUCUCCAAUCCACUGUGCAAGUAAGUAUAGCUGGAUAAAUAUACAUAGACCUGACAAAAUUAAAUAUCCCUGUAAAUUAGACAAUAAGCAGCAGGCAACAAAGUCUUUGCUUUGGAAUAUGUGCCAGGAAAAGUCAUCUUGUUUUUAGAUGUCAAGAGACAGUUCACAAUGACUUAGUUCCUUCAUCUGAAAUGAGCUGAAAAAUCCAUAAAAAAUAGGAGAGUUGUCUGAAGUCUAUGUGACUGAAGGGAAAAAAUAUAUCAUAUAAUAGUGGUUUCUUAGUUGGGAAACUCACUCCAUUGCCCCUUGCCGUCAGCACGUUUAACAACGAGCUGGGGCUCAGGUGCCCGGCCACUGCCACAAGCACCCCUUGCCUGUGCUCCUGACUAGCGCAUGGGCUGGCUGGCCCUGCACAGUCCUGGCCUGAGCGCUGACUGACUCCCAGGAGGGCACACAGACACAGAGAGGGUCUGAGCACUGAUUUGGGGCUGGUGGUGAGGCCAUAUUUUGCUUUGACGGGAGAAAGGAGGAUGAGAGACAGAGGAGGAGGUGAUUAGUAUUAACUAGCACUUAUUUCUCUGAAUUUGCCUAAGAAUUCUCUUUCCUGCCUUUUAAAGUUUUUGCUUAUUUAAAGGCGUGCUUUAAGAAAAUACAUAAAGGUAGUUUCCCUAAGGGCUAUGUUUCUUAACUUUCCCGCCACAACAGCAACAACUAGAGCCUCAUAAACAGUUCCUGCCACAAAUCUCUCACAGCCUCACAGUGGGGAUGGUUCUGUCGGGCAAGGGAACACCCACCCUGGAUGUGCUGGGGACCAGCAAAGGCUGUCUGCACCUGCCAGCCGCAGCAGGGGCGCCCCAGAGGGUGAAGAGCACGCAGGACACGACCACUCUGCUCCCUCUGGCUCCCUAAGAGGCCUUCUUAUUCAGGCACGCUAUGAACAGACAGUCCAGUUUGGCCUGUUCUAAUGUCUGACGCUUCCAAAGCAAAGACUUUCCAAACCAGUUUUGUAUGAGUUAGAAGAAAAACAAAAGUCAUUUCAGUGUAUCACAUAAUUUCACUCUCUCUCAGGCUUCCCACCGUCCUGUGUCACAGACAUGGAUCCUCUGUCACACUUUGUAACAGCAGCAUCAAUGACUUAAUUUUAAAAGUGACCUUCAAAUUCCAUCUUCAUUUCCCUGAAAUUAGAUUUGAUUCCAGUCCAGGCAGCCAUCUCUAAGCACCGACAGAUCCUGCUGGUUUGAAUAGAACCAGAAGGGCAUGUUGUGUCCAUCAGACAAUGAAACUUCUAACUACAUUAGAAAAUCUCACAUACCACUUAGAAAACAAACAACAUCACAGUUAGUGACCUAUGUUUUAACAGGAAGAAGAAAGUUAAAAAAAAAAUCCGCCAUAGAGUUUCCGCGGGUCACUUUUCAGGUACAGACGCAGCCUGUGAUUCUAUCCUUUCCUUUCUCUCUCCGUGAUUAACUUUUCCACCUCUUCACAAUGCAGUGAUAAGGAGCGAAGCUGGGAGACCUGUUCUUCAGAGAUGAGCCCAACCAGGAAGUGAGAAACAAGGUUGUGGAUGAUGACACAAGUCUCCCUAGCAACAACUCUGCAGAGGCGCGCAAGCCCCUGGCCUUUGCUGCAUGAAGCGGGAAGUCAUCCAGCUGCCUAACGCCUGAGAGUCAGCAACCUCAAGGCCGAGGACUCACCAAGUGGGAGUGAGCAGAUACUUUCCUGAAUGGCUGAGCAAUGGUGAAACAGAGAGGUCUGAGCAAGGGAAGUAAAGGAUGGUGUAAAACAAUCCCAAGACAACUGGCAAAGCAACUGAAGUCACUGGAGGCUUUCUUUUUCCCCUCUCAUCCUGGAAAACUUACUGGCAGCUGAAAGAGACAGACUUAUCUUCUCUGAUGAUCUUGGAAGCCAGAUGACCUGGUCUGUCAGAAGGAAAGAAGACUGUCCACAGUGAGCUUCCUCCUUUCUCCCUGGGCAGUGUUUCCACACCAGAUGGAGAGGAGCAGGAACACGCAACAAAGCCUGGGGCCCGGGCUCCCUGGACGCUCAUCCGUGCCCCUAGGCAUAUUGUGUUUUGUUUGGAGUAGUGGUCACGGUUAGUUUUAAUCCUGGGAUCCAGAAAGCAAAGCCUGCCACAUUUGCUUAUUUAUGAGUAUAGAGAGCAUCACUGAAAGCAUCUUCAACCUGACAAACAUCAAUGAAAACAACUGCUGGAUUCAGAGGGAGACUUCCAGGUUUAUGCCUGAAAGCUAUAUUUCUUUGACCAAAGGGAGCUGUAACAAUCACAAGGUCACUACCCAGCAUUAUUUAUUUAUUUUUUUUUCUGAGACAGAGUCUUGCUCUGUCACCCAGGCUCGAGUGCAAUAGCGCGAUCUUGGCUCACUGCAACCUCUGCCUCCUGGGUUCAAGCAGUUCUCCUGCCUCAGGCUCCCAAGCAGCUGGAAUCACAGGCAUGUGCCACCAUACCCGACUAAUUUUGUAUUUUUAGUAGAGACGGGGUUUCAUCAUAUUGGCCAGGCUGGUCUUGAACUCCUGAUCUCGUGAUCUGCCCGCCUCGGCCUCCCCAAGUGCUUGGAUUACAGGCGUGAGCCACUGUGCCCCGCCUGCCCGGCAUUAUCUUAAUCAUAACAAUGACCAUCAAGUUUAUCACCAGAAAGUGAAACACUCCCGCCUUGUGGAACAUUUGUGUAUGACAUGGCACUAAUUCCAACUGUACCACCACCAUCACUAAUGCCAAAAGCAGAACUGAGACACUCCUAGAAAAGAGCUUCCCUCCCAACAGAGAAAAAACAGUGGGCAGGAAUCCUGCUGUGAGGAGCUACAAGCAUCCCACCGCCUGCUGCCAUCACGGCCCACGGCCAAACCCUGGGGUCCCCUGAAGUCCACCAGAAGCAUCCUUGGCAUUUCCCUUCACACAAAGUCAAGAGCAGCCACUGUCCCAGGCCCACUGAAAAAGCCUCUCGUCUCCUCUCUACCAGCCACAUGCUACUAACGAGAUUCUCAGCACGAGAAAAAAGAAAAGAGUACAGAGCAAUGGAGAUGGGGAACGGGAGAGCUAGAAAAGUGCUGGACAAGGAGGGAGAAGUAGUUAAGCCACAGGAUUACAUACAAGAGUCACCGUCAAGAAUCACAAAGAGAAAUGAGAGGUAACGCUUUCUUUAUCUCUCGAAGGCGAGUGAGGGCACUCGGCAGAGUCACUUAGUAUUUCGACUGGCUUGGGCAUCUGCGGGAAAGCUUUGACCUAUGGGGGACAAACGG
Molecule: long non-coding RNA, 4606 nt
Filed under: Pan troglodytes (chimpanzee)
Lineage: Eukaryota; Metazoa; Chordata; Mammalia; Primates; Hominidae
Description: long non-coding RNA NONPTRT000875
Source: RNAcentral